Molecule: small nucleolar RNA, 124 nt
Filed under: Octodon degus (degu)
Lineage: Eukaryota; Metazoa; Chordata; Mammalia; Rodentia; Octodontidae
Description: Small nucleolar RNA SNORA51 (ENSODEG00000023540.1)
Source: RNAcentral
GGCUGGUGCUUACUGCAGGCUGUGUUCAUAGUUCUGGUGCACAGAAAGAGGGAACAGAGGGAAUUUACCCCAUGGCACCUCAGGCCAGCCCCUGCUCCUGGUCUGCACGAAUGGGGAGUGUAGA